GGCCUACCAUGGUGGUAACGGGUAACGGGGUGUUAGGGCACGACACCGGAGAGGGAGCCUGAGAAACGGCUACCACAUCCAAGGAUGGCAGCAGGCGCGCAAAUUACCCAAUCCCGACACGGGGAGGUAGUGACAAUAAAUAACAAUACGGGGUUCUUUCGGAUCUCGUAAUUGGAAUGAGUACAAUUUAAAUCUCUUAACGAGGAACAAUUGGAGGGCAAGUCUGGUGCCAGCAGCCGCGGUAAUUCCAGCUCCAAUAGCGUAUAUUAAAGUUGUUGCAGUUAAAAAGCUCGUAGUUGAACUUCGGGAUCAAUUGAUCGGUCAUGCCAUUGGUAUGUACUGGUCAUAUUGGUUCUCACCUUCUAAGGAACCUUAAUGUCAUUCAUUUGAGGGUGUGGGGAAUUAGGACUGUUACCUUGAAAAAAUUAGAGUGUUUAAAGCAGGCUAACGCUUGAAUACAUUAGCAUGGAAUAAUGAAAUAGGACAUCGCAUUCUAUUUUGUUGGUUUCUAGGAUCGAUGUAAUGAUUAAUAGGGAUAGUUGGGGGCAUUAGUAUUCAAUUGUCAGAGGUGAAAUUCUUGGAUUUAUUGAAGACUAACUACUGCGAAAGCAUUUGCCAAGGAUGUUUUCAUUAAUCAGAACGAAAGUUAGGGGAUCGAAGACGAUCAGAUACCGUCGUAGUCUUAACCAUAACUAUGCCGACUAGGAUCGGAUGAUGUUGAUUUUUAUGACUCAUUCGGCACCUUACG
RNAcentral lists this ribosomal RNA (748 nucleotides) under uncultured Glomeromycotina. RNAcentral describes it as "SSU rRNA". It matches the Rfam family "Eukaryotic small subunit ribosomal RNA", at positions 338 to 1092 of the family's 1831-position model. The record is from RNAcentral. Lineage: Eukaryota; Fungi; Glomeromycota.